This 365-nucleotide ribosomal RNA is filed under the name Mycobacterium sp. RNAcentral describes it as "bacterial LSU rRNA". It matches the Rfam family "Bacterial large subunit ribosomal RNA", at positions 2052 to 2416 of the family's 2925-position model. Lineage: Bacteria; Bacillati; Actinomycetota; Actinomycetes; Mycobacteriales; Mycobacteriaceae. The record is from RNAcentral.
AGUAAAGAUGCUCGUUACGCGCGGCAGGACGAAAAGACCCCGGGACCUUCACUACAACUUGGUAUUGGUGCUCGAUACGGUUUGUGUAGGAUAGGUGGGAGACUGUGAAACACACACGCCAGUGUGUGCGGAGUCGUUGUUGAAAUACCACUCUGAUCGUAUUGGGCCUCUAACCUCGAACCGUAUAUCCGGUUCAGGGACAGUGCCUGGUGGGUAGUUUAACUGGGGCGGUUGCCUCCUAAAAAGUAACGGAGGCGCCCAAAGGUUCCCUCAACCUGGACGGCAAUCAGGUGUUGAGUGUAAGUGCACAAGGGAGCUUGACUGCGAGACGUACAUGUCAAGCAGGGACGAAAGUCGGGACUAGU